CAACACGGGGAAACUCACCACGUCCAGACAUAGUAAGGAUUGACAGAUUGAGAGCUCUUUCUUGAUUAUAUGGGUGGUGGUGCAUGGCCGUUCUUAGUUGGUGGAGUGAUUAGUCUGGUUAAUUCCGUUAACGAACGAGACCUUAACCUGCUAAAUAGUUAGGCCAACGUUUGUUGGUCGUCAACUUCUUAGAGGGACUAUUGACUAUUAGUCAAUGGAAGUUUGAGGCAAUAACAGGUCUGUGAUGCCCCCAGAUGUUCUGGGCCGCACGCGCGCUACACUGAUCAAGUCAACGAGUUUACAACCUUGGCCGGAAGGUCUGGGUAAUCUUUUGAAACUUGAUCGUGCUGGGGAUAGUCCAUUGCAAUUAUUGGACUUCAACGAGGAAUUCCUAGUAAGCGCAAGUCAUCAGCUCGCGUUGAUUACGUCCCUGCCCUUUGUACACACCGCCCGUCGCUACUACCGAUUGAAUGGCUUAGUGAGGCUUCCGGACUGGCCCA
RNAcentral lists this ribosomal RNA (500 nucleotides) under uncultured eukaryote. Its description in RNAcentral is "SSU rRNA". It matches the Rfam family "Eukaryotic small subunit ribosomal RNA", at positions 1201 to 1722 of the family's 1831-position model. The record is from RNAcentral.